UCCUACGGGACGCAGCAGUGGGGAAUAUUGCACAAUGGGGGGAACCCUGAUGCAGCGACGCCGCGGGAGUGAAGAAUUAUUUCGGUAUGUAAAGCUCUAUCAGCAGGGAAGAAAAUGACGGUACCUGACUAAGAAGCCCCGGCUAACUACGUGCCAGCAGCCGCGGAAAUACGUAGGGGGCAAGCGUUAUCCGGAUUUACUGGGUGUAAGGGGAGCGUAGACGGCGGAGCA
RNAcentral lists this ribosomal RNA (231 nucleotides) under uncultured bacterium. RNAcentral describes it as "partial 16S ribosomal RNA". It matches the Rfam family "Bacterial small subunit ribosomal RNA", at positions 337 to 585 of the family's 1533-position model. The record is from RNAcentral.